RNAcentral lists this ribosomal RNA (460 nucleotides) under uncultured bacterium. RNAcentral describes it as "partial 16S ribosomal RNA". It matches the Rfam family "Bacterial small subunit ribosomal RNA", at positions 338 to 795 of the family's 1533-position model. The record is from RNAcentral.
CCUACGGGAGGCAGCAGUGAGGAAUAUUGGUCAAUGGCCGGAAGGCUGAACCAGCCAUGCCGCGUGAAGGUCAGUGCCCUAUGGGCGUUAAACUUCUUUUGUGCGGGAGCAAUAAUGGUCACGUGUGGCCAGACGAGAGUACCGUACGAAUAAGCAUCGGCUAACUACGUGCCAGCAGCCGCGGUAAUACGGGGGAUGCAAGCGUUAUCCGGAUUUAUUGGGUUUAAAGGGUGCGUAGGCUGUGAGGUAAGUCAGCGGUGAAAUGCCCCCGCUCAACGGGGUGAAGUGCCAUUGAUACUGCCUGGCUUGAAUGCGGAUGCCGUGGGAGGAAUGUGUGGUGUAGCGGUGAAAUGCAUAGAUAUCACACAGAACACCGAUUGCGAAGGCAUCUCACGAAUCCGCGAUUGACGCUGAUGCACGAAAGCGUGGGUAUCAAACAGGAUUAGAUACCCUAGUAGUC